This 465-nucleotide ribosomal RNA is filed under the name Vreelandella stevensii. RNAcentral describes it as "partial 16S ribosomal RNA". It matches the Rfam family "Bacterial small subunit ribosomal RNA", at positions 338 to 795 of the family's 1533-position model. The record is from RNAcentral. Lineage: Bacteria; Pseudomonadati; Pseudomonadota; Gammaproteobacteria; Oceanospirillales; Halomonadaceae.
CCUACGGGUUGCAGCAGUGGGGAAUAUUGGACAAUGGGGGGAACCCUGAUCCAGCCAUGCCGCGUGUGUGAAGAAGGCCCUCGGGUUGUAAAGCACUUUCAGUGAGGAAGAACGCCUGGUGGUUAAUACCCAUCAGGAAAGACAUCACUCACAGAAGAAGCACCGGCUAACUCCGUGCCAGCAGCCGCGGUAAUACGGAGGGUGCGAGCGUUAAUCGGAAUUACUGGGCGUAAAGCGCGCGUAGGUGGCUUGAUAAGCCGGUUGUGAAAGCCCCGGGCUCAACCUGGGAACGGCAUCCGGAACUGUCAAGCUAGAGUGCAGGAGAGGAAGGUAGAAUUCCCGGUGUAGCGGUGAAAUGCGUAGAGAUCGGGAGGAAUACCAGUGGCGAAGGCGGCCUUCUGGACUGACACUGACACUGAGGUGCGAAAGCGUGGGUAGCAAACAGGAUUAGAUACCCGAGUAGUC